CACCAUUUUUAAUCCACUUAAAAGUGUUAUUUCCUCAUGACAUCGGCUUCUGUGAAGUUUAGAAAUACAUGAGAAAAAGAGAGUUGGGAAAUAGACAUAGAAAUUAUUCAAAUAAUGAAAAAUAAAUCUUUAAACAAUGACAAUGGAAUUUGGGUUGUUUCUGAUUUUUGUGGUUUGUCUUGUUUUCUGCCUGAAGAAGACAAGGUUGCAGGAAAAUGAAACCACGAUUUUGAAAUAAAGGAAGAACUCUGGUGGAGUUAGUGGGAGCAGCUGUUCUCCAGUCUCAAACCGUAUCUGGACUGUUAGGUUCAGUUCUAGGUACCUCAUGUUAAGAGAGACCUUGAUGAAGUGGAGUGUGUCAGAUAGGGAUGAGCGUGUUCAGAUGUACCUAGAUACGACCACAUAGCUGCAGCUGCCAGCCUACGCUACAGCCACAGCAAAACCAUAUCUGAGCUGCAUCUGCGAUCUACACCACAGCUCAGAGCAACGCCGGAUCCUUAACCCACUGAGUGAAGCCAGGGAUCAAACCCACAUCCUCAUGGAUCCUAGUUGGGUUUGUUACCACUGAGCCACUAGGGAACUCCAGAAAUUUGCUUUUAAGCUUUGAAAAGUUUCCCUUUUCAUAAUUGCUUACUUAGCACAACUCACUAGGAGGAAAUAGAGGAGGGGAGAAACCCCCCCAACAAACCUCUGAAAACAAGUAGAUAACUUUUCAGACAAACAUUAACAGAGAACAUGAGAACUAGACCUAUUCUUCGUUAAAAUUUUAACAUCCCAUGUGACCUUGAGCAAAUUAAUUUAUUUAGGUUCUCUGUGCCUCAGCUCCUUCAUCAGUAAAAUGGAUAUAAUAACUCUUACCUCAUGGCUCUAUGGGAAUUAGUGAGUUAAUGCGUGCUCAGUUCUUUGAGGUCCUUGGAUGAAAGCUGUCAUAUAAAUAUGAGGUAUCAUUAUUAACAUUUAAUGACCAUAUCUAUACUUAUGAUACCAAGUGUCCUAAGAAACAAAAGCUGUUACAGGCCACAGAAAAACUUUCAAAGACUGUUCACAAGUGUCUAUGAGACAUAAGCUAGAAUUAUCGAGAGAGCUUUGUGUCUUAUUGUCAACUUAAAAGUUGCAGUCCCGUGGAGUCAACCUGAUACUUAGCUAUGGAUUUAGGGGAUGCUUUUAAAAGCAUUUUUGCUAUCUUUCAAACCAGUUUUCAUGACUACUUUUAAACUAGUGAUAAUUUGGGAAUCUUCAAAUUAUUUUGCUUUUCUUUUCUAACUGUAGCCUCAGUGGAACCUCUCAAUACUUAUACAUGCUAAAUGUGGUAAUUUUUAAUCUUUUUUUUCUCAUGAACAUAGCAGUAGCUUUCAUCUUUAAUGUAGGAAGAACACAAAAGAAUGGCUGUCAGCCAUGGUGCAGAUAUAGAAAGUCUUGCUUCAUCCUCUCUCCUGGCUCAUGGCUAUACCAUCCUGUUUUGAGUCUUCUCUCUCCACUCCUUGUAGUUAUCAGAAAUGGCAGGAGUUGGUGGGGAGUGGGAAAGGGGGAGCCCCCCUUCUUUAAUCUUAAAUGACAAACUUAAAAGACAAACAUUUAGGAGUUGUCCUGUGGCACAGCAGGUUAAGGAUCUGGCAUUGUGACUGCAACAGCUUGGGUUGCUGCUGUGGC
RNAcentral lists this long non-coding RNA (1650 nucleotides) under Sus scrofa (pig). RNAcentral's name for it is "lncRNA (ENSSSCG00040074558.1)". The record is from RNAcentral. Lineage: Eukaryota; Metazoa; Chordata; Mammalia; Artiodactyla; Suidae.